GUGCCAGCAGCCGCGGUAAUACGUAGGGCGCAAGCGUUGUCCGGAAUUAUUGGGCGUAAAGAGCUCGUAGGUGGUUUGUCGCGUCUGGUGUGAAAUCUCACGGCUCAACCGUGAGCUUGCAUUGGGUACGGGCAGACUAGAGUGCGGUAGGGGAGACUGGAAUUCCUGGUGUAGCGGUGGAAUGCGCAGAUAUCAGGAGGAACACCGAUGGCGAAGGCAGGUCUCUGGGCCGCUACUGACGCUGAGGAGCGAAAGCAUGGGGAGCGAACAGGAUUAGAUACCCUGGUAGUCCAUGCCGUAAACGUUGGGCACUAGGUGUGGGGCUCUUUCCACGAGUUCUGCGCCGUAGCUAACGCAUUAAGUGCCCCGCCUGGGGAGUACGGCCGCAAGGCUAAAACUCAAAGGAAUUGACGGGGGCCCGCACAAGCGGCGGAGCAUGCGGAUUAAUUCGAUGCAACGCGAAGAACCUUACCAAGGCUUGACAUACACCGGAAUCGCUCAGAGAUGGGUGCG
RNAcentral lists this ribosomal RNA (513 nucleotides) under uncultured Rarobacter sp. Its description in RNAcentral is "bacterial SSU rRNA". It matches the Rfam family "Bacterial small subunit ribosomal RNA", at positions 505 to 1014 of the family's 1533-position model. Lineage: Bacteria; Bacillati; Actinomycetota; Actinomycetes; Micrococcales; Rarobacteraceae. The record is from RNAcentral.